This 820-nucleotide ribosomal RNA is filed under the name uncultured bacterium. RNAcentral describes it as "SSU rRNA". It matches the Rfam family "Bacterial small subunit ribosomal RNA", at positions 372 to 1186 of the family's 1533-position model. The record is from RNAcentral.
UGCACGAAAGUGUGACGGUGCGACGCCGCGUGAGGGAUGAAGGUCUUUGGAUUGUAAACCUCUGUCAUGGAAUAGAAAAUGUCUGAUGUUAAUAGCAUUAGGCUUGAUCCUUCCAAAAGGAAGCACAGGCUAACCUCGUGCCAGCAGCCGCGGUAAUACGAGGUGUGCGAGCGUUGUUCGGAAUUACUGGGCAUAAAGGGUGCGUAGGCGGUGUUUCAAGUCGCUGGUGAAAUCCCUUGGCUUAACCAAGGAAUGUCCGGCGAUACUGGAAUGCUAGAGAAUCAAAGGGGCAAGCGGAACUGUAGGUGUAGCAGUGGAAUGCGUAGAUAUCUACAGGAACGCCAAUGGCGAAGGCAGCUUGCUGGGUGAUUUCUGACGCUGAGGCACGAAAGCGUGGGGAGCAAACAGGAUUAGAUACCCUGGUAGUCCACGCUGUAAACGAUGAGCGCUUUAUUCUGGGAGAGUUUACUCUUUCGGAGUUGGAGCUAAUGCGUUAAGCGCUCCGCCUGGGGAUUACGGUCGCAAGACUAAAACUCAAAGGAAUUGACGGGGGCUCACACAAGCGGAGGAGCAUGUUGUUCAAUUCGAAGCAACGCGAAGAACCUUACCCAGACUUGACAGCUUCGUAGUAAAACCCUGAAAGGGGAAUGACCUUCGGGAGCGAAGUACAGGUGCUGCAUGGCUGUCGUCAGCUCGUGUCGUGAGGUGUUAGGUUAAGUCCUGUAACGAGCGAAACCCUUGUCGUCUGUUGCCAGCGAGUUAUGUCGGGCACUCUGACGAGACUGCCGGUGUUAAACCGGAGGAAGGUGAGGACGACGUC